UACUCUCGAUAAUAGAUAUCUCAGCUCUUGCAUCGAUGAAGAAGGUAGCAAAAUACGAAACUUGGUGUGAAUUGCAGUAUCCCAUGAACCACCGAGUCUUUGAAUGCAAGUUGCGCCAUGAGCCUUUUAGCCAAGCGCACAUCUGCUUGGGUGUCA
Molecule: ribosomal RNA, 156 nt
Organism: Cucumis melo (muskmelon)
Lineage: Eukaryota; Viridiplantae; Streptophyta; Magnoliopsida; Cucurbitales; Cucurbitaceae
Product: 5.8S ribosomal RNA
Exons: 1
Source: RefSeq, a predicted model, not a curated record